RNAcentral lists this ribosomal RNA (312 nucleotides) under uncultured bacterium. RNAcentral's name for it is "partial 16S ribosomal RNA". It matches the Rfam family "Bacterial small subunit ribosomal RNA", at positions 28 to 351 of the family's 1533-position model. The record is from RNAcentral.
GAUAAACGCUGGCGGCGUGCCUAACACAUGCAAGUCGAACGUCCGUGCGGUAACGCACGGGAGUGGCGGACGGGUGAGUAACACGUGGGUGACCUAUCCCCAAGUGAGGAAUACCGGCGAGAAAUCGCCGACAACUCCGCAUACCCUCGAGGUAACUCGAGGAAAGUCUCGCAAGAGAUGCUUAGGGAGGGGCCUGCGCCCGAUUAGUUAGUUGGUGGGGUAAUGGCCUACCAAGGCUGCGACGGUAGCUGGUCUGAGAGGACGAUCAGCCACACUGGGAUUGAGAACGGCCCAGACUCCUACGGGGGGCGA